RNAcentral lists this non-coding RNA (31 nucleotides) under Mus musculus (house mouse). Lineage: Eukaryota; Metazoa; Chordata; Mammalia; Rodentia; Muridae. The record is from RNAcentral.
UGAAAGAUUGAGCCAGUCUCAGACACCUAUC